Molecule: long non-coding RNA, 323 nt
Filed under: Salmo salar (Atlantic salmon)
Lineage: Eukaryota; Metazoa; Chordata; Actinopteri; Salmoniformes; Salmonidae
Description: lncRNA (ENSSSAG00000110008.1)
Source: RNAcentral
UCCAACAACGCACUUAGCGACCGUUCUCUCUGUGUGGUGUUUUGGGAAACGCAUGUUACAUCUUCGGCCGUUGUAGGGCAUUGGAGAAUGCAACCAACCAGGAAAAACAAGCAUGGCCAGGCUUCUCAGAGCCCCAAACCUACCAUAUCUGGUGAGGUAUCCGUCUCCUGGACAGACAGGUGUGUCUUGGUCAUAUGGAUUUCAGCAACCUCCUCUCACCUUUUCUGUAACAAAAUAAAGCACAUAAACAAAUUCUUGUUUACUAUGUGUUACAUAUGUAUUUAGAACACCAUGCAUUGUAUCUGGGAGCCUUUAGAUCGAGG